GGUUGAGGUCGGUGCUAUACAGGGACAGAGUGGUGUACUGUGGGAAUGGGUUGAGGUCGGUGCUAUACAGGGACAGAGUGGUGUACUCUGGGAAUGGGUUGAGGUCGGUGCUAUACAGGGACAGAGUGGUGUACUCUGGGAAUGGGUUGAGGUCGGUGCUAUACAGGGACAGAGUGGUGUACUGUGGGAAUGAGUUGAGGUCGGUGCUAUACAGGGACAGAGUGGUGUACUCUGGGAAUGGGUUGAGGUCGGUGCUAUACAGGGACAGAGUUGUGUACUGUGGGAAUGGGUUGAGGUCGGUGAUAUUCAGGGACAGAGUGGUGUACUCUGGGAAUGGGUUGAGGUCGGUGCUAUUCAGGGACAGAGUGGUGUACUCUGGGAAUGGGUUGAGGUCGGUGCUAUUCAGGGACAGAGUGGUGUACUCUGGGAAUGGGUUGAGGUCGGUGCUAUUCAGGGACAGAGUGGUGUACUCUGGGAAUGGGUUGAGGUCGGUGCUAUUCAGGGACAGAGUGGUGUACUCUGGGAAUGGGUUGAGGUCGGUGCUAUUCAGGGACAGAGUGGUGUACUCUGGGAAUGGGUUGAGGUCGGUGCUAUUCAGGGACAGAGUGGUGUACUCUGGGAAUGGGUUGAGGUCGGUGCUAUUCAGGGACAGAGUGGUGUACUCUGGGAAUGGGUUGAGGUCGGUGCUAUUCAGGGACAGAGUGGUGUACUCUGGGAAUGGGUUGAGGUCGGUGCUAUUCAGGGACAGAGUGGUGUACUAUGGGAAUGAGUUGAGGUUGGUGCUUUUGUAAAGACCAAAUGUCAGCCUAACAGAUGAAAUGUGUCAACUUCAAA
Molecule: long non-coding RNA, 834 nt
Organism: Oncorhynchus keta (chum salmon)
Lineage: Eukaryota; Metazoa; Chordata; Actinopteri; Salmoniformes; Salmonidae
Exons: 5
Source: RefSeq, a predicted model, not a curated record